UCGCAGUCUGCAACUCGACUGCGUGAAGGUGGAGUCGCUAGUAAUCGCGGAUCAGCAACGCCGCGGUGAAUGCGUUCCCGGGCCUUGUACACACCGCCCGUCAAGUCAUGAAAGUGGGCAGCACCCGAAGACGGUGGCCUAACCCUUGUGGGGGAGCCGUCUAAGGUGAGGCUCGUGAUUGGGACUAAGUCGUAACAAGGUACC
RNAcentral lists this ribosomal RNA (204 nucleotides) under uncultured bacterium. Its description in RNAcentral is "partial 16S ribosomal RNA". It matches the Rfam family "Bacterial small subunit ribosomal RNA", at positions 1298 to 1500 of the family's 1533-position model. The record is from RNAcentral.